CAUCCUGAUGAAUGGCACUGGGCUCCGACAGGCCCUAAAAUGGUCUGGUCAUGACAGAUAUGCCCUCUUGAGGCAGGCUUAGAAACCCUCGCCCACUGAAU
RNAcentral lists this small nucleolar RNA (101 nucleotides) under Endocarpon pusillum Z07020. Its description in RNAcentral is "A. fumigatus snoRNA Afu_513". It matches the Rfam family "A. fumigatus snoRNA Afu_513". The record is from Rfam by way of RNAcentral. Lineage: Eukaryota; Fungi; Ascomycota; Eurotiomycetes; Verrucariales; Verrucariaceae.